This 375-nucleotide unclassified non-coding RNA is filed under the name soil metagenome. RNAcentral describes it as "partial contains 5.8S ribosomal RNA, internal transcribed spacer 2, and large subunit ribosomal RNA". The stretch from base 1 to 120 matches the Rfam family "5.8S ribosomal RNA", at positions 35 to 154 of the family's 154-position model. The record is from RNAcentral.
GAUGAAGAACGUAGCGAAAUGCGAUAAGUAAUGUGAAUUGCAGAAUUCAGUGAAUCAUCGAAUCUUUGAACGCACAUUGCGCCCGCCAGUAUUCUGGCGGGCAUGCCUGUUCGAGCGUCAUUUCAACCCUCAAGACCCCUUCGGGGGACUUGGUGUUGGGGACCGGCACAGGGGCCUGCCUGCUUGUCUUGCAGCACCCUCGCCGCCCCCGAAAUGAAUUGGCGGCCUCGUCGCGGCCUCCCCUGCGUAGUAGCACAACCUCGCAACGGGAACGUGACGGCGGCCACUGCCGUAAAACAACCCCAAUUUUAUUAGAGUUGACCUCGAAUCAGGUAGGAAUACCCGCUGAACUUAAGCAUAUCAAUAAGCGGAGGA